RNAcentral lists this long non-coding RNA (882 nucleotides) under Phoenix dactylifera (date palm). RNAcentral's name for it is "long non-coding RNA (PDAC_LNC002313)". The record is from RNAcentral. Lineage: Eukaryota; Viridiplantae; Streptophyta; Magnoliopsida; Arecales; Arecaceae.
AAUUAUUGUAAUUGAAUCAUAAUUAUACUAACAAAAUCAGUUUUCAUUUUGACUACUCAGAAUCUUCCACUUUGUGCAUCUAGAUAAUAUUUCUGUUACUAAUUUAAAUAGCAUUUUAAUUAUGAAAGAAUGUGCCAAAAAUAUGCCUAGUUCUAAAUGUGCAUCUUGAAAAGUAUGAACUUUGAGUCUUGCACAUCCAUGUGCCUGAAUGAUUUUUGGUACAUAUCAUAACAGAAUUGAGCUUACAUAAAUGAUCGAUAUAAUCAUUAGAUCUAGUCCUAUAUAUUUGAGCUUAUCAUUAUAAAUGCUCAUUUGUCAGAUGUCUAUAUUAAAGGCCAUCCAUGAUAUUUUUCAAACUGACACUCUAAUAUCCAUAAGUGUUAAGUUGGAUCUCUUUUAUAUUUUUACUUAUUUCAGUUAAUCUAAUGUCAAUUUUCAACCUUUCUUAACCAAAAUUGGGAUCAGCUUCGAUGAUACUAACACAUGAGAUGAUGAUCUAUGCAACCAAAUUGGGAUCCCAAUCUUAACCUAUCACUUAGGAAAUCACUAGUAUUGGUGCCUUCUUUUUAGUUGACAUUGCAGCAAAUUGAUGUAUGGCGUAGUUUAUAUUAGCAGUCAUACAUUAAAGUAGCCUGUGCUGUUAAAUUACACUCAUUCUAUCUAGACCACCAAGACAGGCAUUUGUAACCUGCUUUCCCCUUCAUUCCAUUUACAUUUUCAAACAUAUGCCGAUUUGCUCAUCCGCCUACCAUAAAAUGAGUGGAUCCUUUUGCCAGAGAAUAUAUUCCUACAUCAUUGCACCUCAUCUUCCAUGAUCUAGAUUUAUUAGGAAGAUCAACUCUCAUAAAAUGAGAAUUAUUGCCGAUUCCUAUGGCGACGCAC